RNAcentral lists this long non-coding RNA (304 nucleotides) under Brachypodium distachyon (stiff brome). RNAcentral describes it as "long non-coding RNA (BDIS_LNC005829)". Lineage: Eukaryota; Viridiplantae; Streptophyta; Magnoliopsida; Poales; Poaceae. The record is from RNAcentral.
CAUAGCGCUCGAUCAGAUGGUUCCAGGCUUUGGUAGCAUCCCGUUGAGCCCAUACUACUUCUGGCCACGGAAAGAUGCGUGGGAGGAGCUAAGAGCAAAGCUGGAGGAGAAAGAGUGGAUCUCGCAGAAGCAGAUGAUCAUCCUUCUCAACCAGGCCACGGACAUCAUCAACCUCUGGCAGCAGGGCGGCGGUAGCUUGUCGACAUGAGCUUCUCUCUGUUCUCCCAACCGCACGAGCUGUUUAUCGUCCUUGUUCUUGCUUCAUCUACAUGGCUCUCUGUUGUUAAUGUUAAAGCCACAUGGU